Molecule: ribosomal RNA, 386 nt
Filed under: uncultured bacterium
Lineage: Bacteria
Description: bacterial SSU rRNA
Rfam family: Bacterial small subunit ribosomal RNA
Source: RNAcentral
AUUGAACGCUGGCGGCAUGCUUUACACAUGCAAGUCGAACGGCAGCACGGGGGCAACCCUGGUGGCGAGUGGCGAACGGGUGAGUAAUGCAUCGGAACGUAUCCUUAAGUGGGGGAUAACGCAUCGAAAGAUGCGCUAAUACCGCAUAAUCUCUAAGGAGAAAAGCAGGGGAUCGCAAGACCUUGCGCUUUUGGAGCGGCCGAUGUCUGAUUAGCAGUUGGUGAGGUAAAGGCUUACCAAGGCUUCGAUCAGUAGCUGGUCUGAGAGGACGACCAGCCACACUGGGACUGAGACACGGCCCAGACUCCUACGGGAGGCAGCAGUGGGGAAUUUUGGACAAUGGGGGAAACCCUGAUCCAGCCAUGCCGCGUGAGUGAAGAAGGCCU